Long non-coding RNA from Dunckerocampus dactyliophorus (ringed pipefish), 2990 nucleotides. RefSeq lists it as uncharacterized. Lineage: Eukaryota; Metazoa; Chordata; Actinopteri; Syngnathiformes; Syngnathidae. The transcript has 3 exons. The record is from RefSeq and is a predicted model, not a curated record.
CUCAUCUUGAGGAAUUUGUGUUCAUAGAAACUGGACGGGACACAGCAGUAGGUACACCUACUAGUACACAGUCUGAGUUGCAAGAAGCAUGAGGAAAAUAAAGUCUUAGUAAUUAAGUUGAACCAGUCUGGAACACUAAUCAGUAAAAAAAAGCUCCUCAAUCAACAACUUUACUCAGAUCUGCACCAACAUUUCAUAGUUUCCUAUGGACCCCUCUACAAAAUUUCUACUAAAUAUCGUAAAACUGGAAUAUAACAGAGCAUUUCUUCCUUGAAAAAUAUGUCUGAAAAAGAUGAGUCAAAUUAUAUUUGAGGUUUCGAGAUUUAUACAUGCAAACCCACAAGUGGGGUCGAAGGACUUCUCCCCAAGUGAAUCUGAGCUUUUCUUCCUGUCACUCACACAUCAGUGACUGGUUUGAAAAAGAGGGGUCGUCUUGUAUUCAGGUCAAUACAAUACUUGAUAUGUAAUCCUACUAACUAAAUAUUAGGGAUGCACAAUAUGUUUUUUUUUUUCAAGCCGGUACCAAUACCAAUAGAAUCCUGCUUUUCCAGACCGAUAUCGGUACGAAUAACUUUUUAUACAGUAUCUUUUUUUGUUGUUGUUGUUCAAUUUUACUGUAGUUUGUGCACACCUGGAGGCUCAGAUAAAAUUGGAUUUGACAAACUGUCCCAGAUAGCAAGCAUAGCAGCAUUGAAACAAUGUUGAUUGUUGUUGAUUUUUCCAUCAGAAUCGUCAGAAUGGUUAACACUGAAAUUUCCAUACAAAACAGAUGUUGAAUCAACGCCGGUAAUGAAAUUUGACAUGUUUAUAGCAGUGACAUUGAAACAAAGUUGAUACAUAGUUGAGAGGAAAGAUGAUUGAUAAAUCAUGGAUUUAGAGUUGAUCUUUAGACCAUCUCGUGGUUGACCAGCGCACCUGCACCCCAUAAUUAAAUUGGGAAAUUUAGCAGCUGCAGUUCCUGUUCCUGUUACACACUUGCGGUGGCGGUAAUGCAAAGAAGAAGAAGAAGAAGAAGAAGAAGGGAAGAUGGUCGAAUGGAUGUGUUUGACUUUGUACAUCUCCGCCAAUAUAGAACAGAAUCAGGUAUGUAUUUGUUUUUAAGUGAUGUGUACCACUGGACUUAACAAAAUGGGUCUGUUAAAAUCAGUUGUAAUAACGUAACAGCUCAAACCAUGAUGCCAUAUCUCUAUUUGAACAAGCGACAAUUGCUAAUGUUACAAAAUAGUUGUGUUUAAACAUUGAUUUGGGGGGUAAACAAAAUAUAGUCUUAGGUAGGUUCAUCUUUUGCAAAUACCGCCAUGAAUGAACUGUUCAAUAUUUAUAUCUACUUUCAGAUGAAUCAACACCACUCAGCCACGCCAACAGUCACCCUGAUACGUGUCGUCAAACCCCGGUUUGCCACCCAGGAUCGGAAAGGUCUUACACAUCUCCGGACCCGGUCCAAGCAUUGACUCAUAGGAAGGUGUCUCAUCUGUGGCCAAGAUUGAGAGAAAUGCCCUCAGCCAACAGCUUGGCACUGCGAUGAAUGAUGAUACGUUUGCUCAAGCAGUGAAAAAGUGGCUCCGUUAUAAGUCAGACCGGACAGGAAGGUUUAGCCAUGGCAGUGAAUGAAAUGAAAUAAAACCUGUUUGAUUUGCAUUAUAAAAGUGUGUGUGUGUUUGUGUAUGAGAUAAAACUAUCUAUCUUUUAAGCCUAAGACAGCAUGACUGUAGAUAAAGCAGGAUUUUAAUGAAAUGUUGGCAUUGAACAGCAAUAAAUGAGCCCUUUUCUUCUGCUGUUAUCGUCAUUGAAAUAUUGAAACCACAUUGAUUUUUAGUUACGUUAAAAUUCAACAUUGCUAAAUCAACAUUGAAGUCCAACACUGAAUCAAUAAUCUAAAGUUAAAAAUUCAACGUAGACUCUAAAUUGUUUCAAUUUCCCCUUGCUAUCUGGGGUACUUGCAUAUUUUUCCUUACCAAAUAUCAUGGCAUCACUGCGAAAUAAUAUAACAAAACAUCAAAGAAAUAGCGGCAGCUCAGAAGUACAAACCACAGCUUCAAGGGGUUUACUAGCCAGUUUACUGGCCGUUACUUAGAUGGUAACGAGCUAAUCUAGCGCCAUUGUUUCCAUGAUGAAAUCACAGAUCUCUUUAGCCCUCAGGUUGUCUCUUUUUUGCAUUUUUCAAACUCUGCGGAUAGGAACAAGCCCUGGGCAUCGUAAUUAGCAAUGCUAGUGUUUCAGGUGGAUGAAUAGGUUUGAUGUGUUACAGCUUGAUGUUUUUUUCCCUCAUCAUUUGCAGAGCACUUGGUGCAACUACCACAUGAAAUGUCUUCCUCAACACUGCAAAAACAGUCAUCCUUAAAAGAAGCCCAAAUUAUAUUAAAAUAAGACAACAAAAAAAUUCUGCCAAUGGGGUAAGCAAAAUUGGCUUGGCUAGAACUCUUAUAACUACAAUAUUUUUCUUGUGACUUUUAAGAGUUGUUCUUAAUCACAUACUGUAGCUAGAGUCAAAUGUUCUUAUUACGAGGUAAGAAAUAAGCCAAAUGCUCUUAUAAAAUUCGUCAAUUCGGAUAAAAUUUGCUUUAAGAGGCUAGAUUUAGGCAAGAUAUUCUAUAUGUAGGAGUAUUAUUCUAUUUUCUUACAAUUUCUAGACUCUCCAAUUCAUCUAUCAUGCAUAUGGAAGGAAGCCGGUACACAAGGGGGAGCGUGUGAGUUCCACACAGAUGUGUUCCAAUGGGGAUUUGAAUGCGGGUUGCCCAAUUGUAGGGCUAACAUACAAACCAUGCAGUUAACACCUUUCCUUGUCGGCAUGAUAGUUAUGUUGGUUACUUCUUUUCAACAAGCAGGAAGCAAAUUAUUUGGAUGGAACUUUUUUUUAUUUAAAAAGAGUGUGAUUGUACCUAAGAUUCACUUAAUUUGGGAAAACCUAUUGUCAUAAAAACUUUCAGAAUUCUUUUUUGGCAUCAUUUACAUGUAAAGUCACUAGUCUUUACAUUUAUAAACUACAUAAA